Molecule: ribosomal RNA, 495 nt
Filed under: uncultured bacterium
Lineage: Bacteria
Description: partial 16S ribosomal RNA
Rfam family: Bacterial small subunit ribosomal RNA
Source: RNAcentral
GACGAACGCUGGCGGCGUGCCUAAUACAUGCAAGUAGAACGCAGAAGCAGGAGCUUUGUUCUCUGGAUGAGUUGCGAACGGGUGAGUAACGCGUAGGUAACCUGCCUGGUAGCGGGGGAUAACUAUUGGAAACGAUAGCUAAUACCGCAUAAUAGUAGAUGUUGCAUGACAUUUGCUUGAAAGGUGCAAUUGCAUCACUACCAGUUGGGCCUGCGUUGCAUUAGGUAGUUGGUGGGGUAACGGCUCACUAAGGCGACGAUACAGAGCCGACCUGAGAGGGUGGUCAGCCACACUGGGAGGGUGACACGGCCCAGACGGCCUCGGGAGGGAGCAGGAGGGAAACUGCGGGAAUGGGCGGAAGGCUGACCGAGCAACGCCGCGGGAGUGAAGAAGGUUUUCGGGUGGGAAAGGUCUGUUGUAAGGGAAGAACGAGCGUGAGAGUGGAAAGUUCACACUGUGACGGUAACUUAUCAGAAAGCGACGGCUAACUACGUG